This 232-nucleotide ribosomal RNA is filed under the name uncultured bacterium. RNAcentral describes it as "partial 16S ribosomal RNA". It matches the Rfam family "Bacterial small subunit ribosomal RNA", at positions 15 to 241 of the family's 1533-position model. The record is from RNAcentral.
GAUCAUGGCUCAGGAUGAACGCUAGCGGCAGGCUUAACACAUGCAAGUCGAGGGGCAGCAUAAUGGAUAGCAAUAUCUAUGGUGGCGACCGGCGCACGGGUGCGUAACGCGUAUGCAACCUACCUUUAACAGGGGAUAACACUGAGAAAUUGGUACUAAUACCCCAUAAUAUCAUAGAAGGCAUCUUUUAUGGUUGAAAAUUCCGAUGGUUAGAGAUGGGCAUGCGUUGUUA